GUGACAGUGUCUCCAUCACUGCACUGGGAUUCACACAGACCAUAUUAGCACGGCUCCAGUGCAAGGCUGACAUGUAAAUUCAUGAAGUGUUCCAUAUUUUG
This 101-nucleotide small nuclear RNA is filed under the name Paramormyrops kingsleyae. The record is from RNAcentral. Lineage: Eukaryota; Metazoa; Chordata; Actinopteri; Osteoglossiformes; Mormyridae.